GUUGGCUGAUGAAAGUUUGCUUCGUGAAAUUUUUCACGCGUUUUAUAAGAUAAAACCUUGUUCGAUAAUGUCAAAUUAUCCUGAUAUCGUUAAUAAAAUUGGAAAAGAUUCGUCGAGGGCUGCUUGCAAGAAGUGUGGUUAUGCGGGACAUUUAACAUUUCAAUGUCGAAAUUUUAUUAAAAUAGAUCCAAAUAAAGAGAUAGUAUUGGAUGUGAGUAGUACAAGCAGUGACAGUGAUGAUUAUGCAACACCACUUCAGUCACUAAGAGAAGCAGAACUGAAACAGAAACUAGCGGAGAAACUUAAGAAAGCUAAGCAGAAAAAAAGUACUAAGAAAAGAAAGAGAUCUACAUCAUCAAGUUCCUCCUCCAGUAGUGAUAGCAGUUCAUCAUCAGAUUCAUCCGAUAGCAGUUCAGAAGAAGAUAUAAAAAAGAAAAGAAAGGAAAAGAAAUCUAAGAAAACAAAGAAGAAAUCUCAUAAAAAAAAGAAAAGCAAGAAAUGAUUGCAAAUUUACAUUUUAAGUUUACAUUUGUAUUUAGGAUUUCUUAUUAUUUUAAAAAUAAUUUCUAAUGUAUCGAAAACAGCUUACUGCUAUCCCAUGUAUAAACUGCUAGAUUUUUGAUAGCCUUGAACUAUCCUUAUUUUUAAAUAGUAUUCAAUAAAUCUCAUUAUCUAAAUAAAAUCCUAGUAUUCAGUUAAAAUAUUAAAAGUUAUAGUUCAUAGAAGACUGAUAAUGUUUAAUCAUCUAAUUAUUAUUUGUGGUAAAAUUUAAUAAAUACUUAUAUAGUAUAGUAAUAACCUUAUAAUAUUGUGACAUUUUUAAUACCCUGAUUUAACAAAUUUCUGGGAAGUUACAUUAUAUUUUGUAUGAACAUAGUUUUAUAUUUUAAUAAAUACUUCAAUAUCAGAUUAAUUAAUAGUAAUUUAGGUAAUAAACAUAAAUAAUCGUUGAUUCUUAUCAUAUUUUAUCUCUUACCAUUGAUCACACUCAUGCACACCAGUCAUUAAACCAAUACUCUGUUGUCAAAGUUAGUGCCUGAAUACAGGUUAAUCUAAAUAUAGUGUUCAAAUCAUGAAAUUGAAUUUUAUCUUUUUAGUUACUUUUUUAAUCAAUGAUGCAUUAGUAUAAACUUAAUCUAUAAUAGGCAAUGAUAAACAUAAAAAAUCAGAAAGUGUUAGUUUUUUACUAGUAUACAACUGUUAUGCGGACAUGAUACCGAAAAGUAAUAGAGUGCAAUUACAUAUUACUAUUUAUUAAUAUAGUAAAAAUAGGAAAGCUGUGUCUAUAGAUCAAAUCUUUUUUGAUAACUAAUAGGUAAACUAGAAUGUUACAUACUAGUAAACUAGAUAUAAACAAAAUACUAAUCCAUAAACUUUUUGUUUGUGUGUUCACAUAUUAUGCAAAAACUGCUUAAUGGAUUUUGAUGGAAUUUGUUAUGAUGAGAACUGAUUACUGAGGUACAAUACAUAGGAUAUUGUUUACAGCAAUACUGUCAUUCCCACGGUAAAAUACAAUCUGUCUACCAGAUGGUUAAUGCGUAGCCAAUUGUACGUAGUUCUUUCAUGUUAGUGAUUCCAACAGCAUGUGCUUAUAUAGCUUACAAGAAGGCUACACAAAUAUAAAAUGUUACUAAUAUUGUAUUUCUCCUUAUUCAUUGGCUAUUUUUCUCCAUUGAUAAUUGCUAAUAUACAAGAUUUUUAAAUUAAGAAACAUAUUUUGGGGUAUUAGUUUUUUUGGAACAUGCUAUGCUUUUAUUAGAUUGUUUGAUAUAAAAAUAUGUAAUAUACUAAAAUAUUAUGUUCUAUGUUUAUAUAAGAAUAUUUUUAAUGUAAAACUGUAUUUCUAAGCCUUUUAAUUACAAGCAGACAAAGUUGCCGGGACAGGGAUUUUAUCUUAUGACUAUACUAUGUAACUAAAUGUUUAUGUUAUAUUAAUGUAUUCAAAAACAGGGUUCAAUGUUAGUAACCUAGGCGAAUGGAAUGUGUGCUAAAGUACUUGAAAGUAAAAUUUAUCUGAAAAAAUAAUCAAGUCAAAGAGUCAGAGUGGAAAGGGUUAUGGUAAUAUGAUUUGCACGAGCGUUCCUAUUUUCUAAUUGCAGAAGGCUCCUGAAAAUGAUAUUGUCCAUUUGGGGACGUUAAAAAGAAAUUCUAGAAAUGCAAAUGGCUAAUAUAUAAAACAAUAAAGGUAAUAAAAUGAUGAAAUGUGUUAAAGUUUUAUUACCACUUUUGUAAUGAAUCGUGAAUGUGUAUUAUUAUUCGAAAUAA
Bombyx mandarina (wild silkworm) is the source of this 2265-nucleotide unclassified non-coding RNA. Lineage: Eukaryota; Metazoa; Arthropoda; Insecta; Lepidoptera; Bombycidae. The record is from RefSeq and is a predicted model, not a curated record.